CCUACGGGGUGCACCAGCGGGGAAUAUUGCACAAUGGGCACAAGCCUGAUGCAGCCAUGCCGCGUGUAUGAAGAAGGCCUUCGGGUUGUAAAGUACUUUCAGCGGGGAGGAAGGUGUUGUGGUUAAUAACCACAGCAAUUGACGUUACCCGCAGAAGAAGCACCGGCUAACUCCGUACCAGCAGCCGCGGUAAUACGGAGGGUGCAAGCGUUAAUCGGAAUUACUGGGCGUAAAGCGCACGCAGGCGGUCUGUCAAGUCGGAUGUGAAAUCCCCGGGCUCAACCCGGGAACUGCAUUCGAAACUGGCAGGCUAGAGUCUUGUAGAGGGGGGUAGAAUUCCAGGUGUAGCGGUGAAAUGCGUAGAGAUCUGGAGGAAUACUGGUGGCGAAGGCGGCCCCCUGGACAAGACUGACGCUCAGGUGCGAAAGCGUGGGGAGCAAACAGGAUUAGAUACCCUCGUAGUC
RNAcentral lists this ribosomal RNA (464 nucleotides) under uncultured bacterium. RNAcentral describes it as "bacterial SSU rRNA". It matches the Rfam family "Bacterial small subunit ribosomal RNA", at positions 338 to 795 of the family's 1533-position model. The record is from RNAcentral.